RNAcentral lists this small RNA (161 nucleotides) under Sphenodon punctatus (tuatara). RNAcentral describes it as "TUC338 (ENSSPUG00000002346.1)". Lineage: Eukaryota; Metazoa; Chordata; Lepidosauria; Sphenodontia; Sphenodontidae. The record is from RNAcentral.
AUGACAGCCCUGGAAACUGAAGUCCUGUAUUUAAGCACAGAAUAAGUACAGUUUGGCGCAGUACCAGUGCAAGUUUCCACAUGCCCUGUUCUGACCUGAAUGGACCAUCUUAAAAGCUGAGAGCAGUGCAGCCCUCAUACCUAAUUCACUCCCUUGCCAAG